GAAUUCCCCACUCGUCAGCUCCACGCCUUUGCACAUGCUUGCCUCCCGCCUGGGACACGGUCCCUUCACCCUCUCUAGUGCUGCAGACCUCCCGCCUCCAUUGCUUGGCUAACGAGGCACAACCUGGCUGGGUGCCAACUCCUCCCAGCCUGGGCCAGUUGCCAGUCGUCUGUGCUCCCACCGUCCCCUGGGCUGAGCCUGGCGUGGUCAUUGUUUACUUCUCUGCCUCGUUCCCCAGACUGAAUGUCCUGAAGGGAGGGACUUUCAUUUCAGCGAUCAUUGUAUUUUCAACACCCAGCCAGCGACCAGUGAGCCUGCUGAUGGUGAAUAAAUGCUCAUGAGUGAUGACAACAGCCAGCUGAAAGCAGUGCAGCCCUCCUCCCUGCGGGGCAUGCUCUCUGUGGAUGUGCUGGUUUAGUCACACACAUUUUAAGUGUGACGACACCUAUAUAUUCUUAAAUCUGUAAAACAAAGUACACACCACAAUAUCUCGAGAUCUGCCCUUCUCCUUUGACCACUCCACCCCAGCCUGUGACAAGGGGCUGCCAUUUCCCCCUGUGGGGCCAGGGAUGAGUCGGGUAGAGCACCCAGGAGCUGGUGCAGAUGAGAACAAGACCAGUUAGGGGGCAUGUGAGGGAGUGCUGUAGGCACCAAGGCCAGGACUAGGCAAGAAUUUAUUUGGAUUUGUGUCUAGCAGAGACUGGGCGGGACAAGAAGGUGGGCGCAUUUCCCCACUGAAAGAAAGCCAAUCAAGUGAAAAUGAACAAGAACACAAGCUGAGCUCUGUGUCCUGUGUCCCUGAAGGGGUGACUGAGCAGCCUCCGUUCCUGGGUGUAGAGGUGACACCACCACUGUCCAUCCCGGAGCCUCACCCAGGGCAUCAGCAUAGCAUGCUCACACUUUAGGUCCUGUAGACAAAAGUCAUUACAGGCUCCCAGCCAGGAGCGUAGGCUGAGGCCGGAGAGGCUGCGUUUCUCACACACUCCCAGGGGGCGCUGAUGCUGCUGGUCCUGGGACUGCACUAUGAGUGGCGGAAGUCAAACCUGCGCCUGGCAGAAAACAGUAAAUAGGUCAUUUGGCUAAAUCAUUAGCCAGGCUGUUAAUUCUGCAUCCAUUAGGUUGGGUUGUACUAAGUUAGGCCACACUUUUUGUGAGGUAGACCAGUAUUUGUGCAUGACAGGCCCGACAUUUGUGAAAACAUUGCCUUGAAAAUAGUUGGAGAGUUUUAUUUCUCAUGAGUGGAACAUGCUGUCGUCUGAGAGCCUGCUUCAGAGCAGCUGUCUGGGAGCCUCCGGAGUGGGAACCACUUGGCAGAGUAGGUAAAAAAUCCAAAAAGGGUUUCAAGUCUUUGAGUCUGAAACAAAUGGACAAUGUAGAUUCCUUUCUUGAAAUUUUAUGCAGCGUUUUGCAAGGAGCUUAUGAAGCUGAUCAUAGUCCAGAGAUCCUGAAAGGUCCAAUUUGCUUGUCAUUUUUUUUUUUUUUGAGACUGUGUUUUAGUCUGUCACCCAGGUUGGAGCACAGUGGCAUGAUCACAGCUCGCUCACUGCAGACUUGACCUUCCAAACUCAACCAAUCCCUCUGCCUCAGCCUCUGGAGUAGCUAGGACUACAGGUGUGCACCACCACACCCAGCCAAUUUUUGUAUAUUUUUGUAGACACAGGGUUUUGACAUGUUGCCCAGGCUGGUCUCGAACUUCUGAACUCAAGCCAUCCUUCCUCCUCAGCCUCCCAAGGAUCUGCGCUUAUAGGUGUGAGCCACCGUGCCCAGUCUGAUUGUCUAUUUAUAUCCUCCUCUCUCUUUCUAGAAAAGGAUGGGAAGCAGCUUUCUGUCUUCUGUAGUUUUCUCACAGCCUGUGAACCUAUUUGUACACAACUACAGUUAAGCAGGAGACUAGGAAGCUUCAUCAGAAUUUUUUCCUCCUUAAUUUUUUUUUUUUUCCCUCGCCUAGGCUGGAGUACAGUGGAGUGAUCUCAGUUCAUUGCAACCUCUGCCUCCCAGGUUCAAGUGAUUCUCCUGCCUCAGCCUCCUGAGUAGCUGAGAUUAUAGGUGUGCACCACCAUGCCAGGUUAAGUUUUGUAUUUUUAGUAGAGACGGGGUUUUGCCAUGUUACCCAGGCUGGUCUUGAACUCCUGACCUCAGGUGAUCCACCUGCGUUGGCCUCCCAGAGUGCUGGGAUUACAGGGGUGAGCCACUGUGCCCAGCUCCCGUCCUUAAAAGUGUUGUAUUUUCUGAUUAUUAAAUAAAAAUAGAUGUUCAUCGUAGGGGAAAAUGAGACUUUUUACAACUUUUUAUAACCUCCUCAUUCAGAAUCAAUUACUACUGAAGGUUUAGUGCAUUUUCUUUCUUGUUUUUUGUCAUGCAUUGUUAAUAGAUGAUUUUAUAUAAUUUUUUAAAUGUAUAUUUAUUUUUUUAUGGUAAUUUAAGCCUUUCCUCAUGAUUAAAAUUCUUCAUAUACCUCAAUUUCACUAUUGUUUGAUAACAUGUAAGAUUAUACAAUAGAAAAAGGGUUUUUCUUUUUUAACUUUUAAAAAUAAUUUCAAAAGGAUGACUUUUUUUUUUUUUUUUUUAAGAUGGGGUUUCACUCUUGUUGCCCAGGCUGGAGUGCAAUGGUGCAAUCUUGGCUCACUGUAACCUCUGCCUCCUGAGUUCAAGUGAUUAUCCUGCCUCAGCCUCCCCAGUAGCUGGGAUUACAGGUGUGUGCCACUACACCUGGCUAAUUUUGUAUUUUUAGUGGAGACAGAGUUUCACCAUGUUGGCCAGGCUGGUCUCAAACUCCUGACCUCGUGAUCUACCCGCCUCAGCCUCCCAAAGUGCUGGGAUUACAGGUGUGAGCCACUGUGCGUGGAAUUUUUUUUUUUCCCCCCUCAGACGGAGUCUUUCUCUGUCACCCAGGCUGGAGUACAGUGGUGUGAUCUCGGCUCACUGCAACCUCCACUUCCUGGGUUCAAGUGAUUCUCCCGCCUUAGCCUCCUGAGUAGUGGGGACUACAGACAUGCACCACCACACCUGGCUAAUUUUUGUAUUUUUUGGUAGAGAUGGGGUUUUGCCAUGUUGACCAGGCUGGUCUCGAAUCCCUGACCUCAAGCAAUCUUCCCACCUCAGCCUGCCAAAAUGCUGGGAUUACAGGUGUGAGUCACUGUGCCCUACCAAAAGGAGAACAUUUUGGAAAAAAAAAAAAAAAA
Molecule: long non-coding RNA, 3182 nt
Filed under: Macaca fascicularis (crab-eating macaque)
Lineage: Eukaryota; Metazoa; Chordata; Mammalia; Primates; Cercopithecidae
Description: lncRNA (ENSMFAG00000056191.1)
Source: RNAcentral